Molecule: ribosomal RNA, 696 nt
Filed under: uncultured bacterium
Lineage: Bacteria
Description: bacterial SSU rRNA
Rfam family: Bacterial small subunit ribosomal RNA
Source: RNAcentral
AACGCUAGCUACAGGCUUAACACAUGCAAGUCGAGGGGAAACGAUAUUGGAAGCUUGCUUCCGAUAGGCGUCGACCGGCGCACGGGUGAGUAACGCGUAUCCAACCUGCCCACCACUUGGGGAUAACCUUGCGAAAGUAAGACUAAUACCCAAUGAUAUCUCUAGAAGACACCUGAAAGAGAUUAAAGAUUUAUCGGUGAUGGAUGGGGAUGCGUCUGAUUAGCUUGUUGGCGGGGUAACGGCCCACCAAGGCGACGAUCAGUAGGGGUUCUGAGAGGAAGGUCCCCCACAUUGGAACUGAGACACGGUCCAAACUCCUACGGGAGGCAGCAGUGAGGAAUAUUGGUCAAUGGACGAGAGUCUGAACCAGCCAAGUAGCGUGCAGGAAGACGGCCCUAUGGGUUGUAAACUGCUUUUAUAAGGGAAUAAAGUGAGUCUCGUGAGACUUUUUGCAUGUACCUUAUGAAUAAGGACCGGCUAAUUCCGUGCCAGCAGCCGCGGUAAUACGGAAGGUCCGGGCGUUAUCCGGAUUUAUUGGGUUUAAAGGGAGCGUAGGCCGGAGAUUAAGCGUGUUGUGAAAUGUAGACGCUCAACGUCUGCACUGCAGCGCGAACUGGUUUCCUUGAGUACGCACAAAGUGGGCGGAAUUCGUGGUGUAGCGGUGAAGUGCUUAGAUAUCACGAAGAACUCCGAUUG